UGCGCAGGCGGCCAGGUGUGUCGGAGGUGAAAUUUUGCAGCUUAACUGUAAACGUGCCUUCGAAACUACCUGGCUAGAGUAUCGGAGAGGUAAGCGGAAUUCCAGGUGUAGCAGUGAAAUGCGUAGAUAUCUGGAGGAACACCAAUGGCGAAGGCAGCUUACUGGACGAUUACUGACGCUCAGCAGAAAGCAUGGGGGGCAAAG
This 204-nucleotide ribosomal RNA is filed under the name uncultured bacterium. RNAcentral describes it as "partial 16S ribosomal RNA". It matches the Rfam family "Bacterial small subunit ribosomal RNA", at positions 568 to 773 of the family's 1533-position model. The record is from RNAcentral.